This 245-nucleotide ribosomal RNA is filed under the name uncultured Ferruginibacter sp. Its description in RNAcentral is "partial 16S ribosomal RNA". It matches the Rfam family "Bacterial small subunit ribosomal RNA", at positions 524 to 768 of the family's 1533-position model. Lineage: Bacteria; Pseudomonadati; Bacteroidota; Chitinophagia; Chitinophagales; Chitinophagaceae. The record is from RNAcentral.
UACGGAGGGUGCAAGCGUUAUCCGGAUUUACUGGGUUUAAAGGGUGCGUAGGCGGGCCUUUAAGUCAGUGGUGAAAGCUCCGAGCUUAACUCGGAAACUGCCAUUGAUACUAUUGGUCUUGAAUUCGGUCGAGGUUGGCGGAAUGUGUCGUGUAGCGGUGAAAUGCUUAGAUAUGACACAGAACACCGAUUGCGAAGGCAGCUAGCUAGACCGACAUUGACGCUGAGGCACGAAAGCGUGGGGAU